RNAcentral lists this ribosomal RNA (555 nucleotides) under Penicillium chrysogenum. RNAcentral describes it as "eukaryotic LSU rRNA". The stretch from base 176 to 328 matches the Rfam family "5.8S ribosomal RNA". Lineage: Eukaryota; Fungi; Ascomycota; Eurotiomycetes; Eurotiales; Aspergillaceae. The record is from RNAcentral.
GCUUCCAGGUGGGGCCUCUGGGUCACCUCCCACCCGUGUUUAUUUACCUUGUUGCUUCGGCGGGCCCGCCUUAACUGGCCGCCGGGGGGCUCACGCCCCCGGGCCCGCGCCCGCCGAAGACACCCUCGAACUCUGUCUGAAGAUUGUAGUCUGAGUGAAAAUAUAAAUUAUUUAAAACUUUCAACAACGGAUCUCUUGGUUCCGGCAUCGAUGAAGAACGCAGCGAAAUGCGAUACGUAAUGUGAAUUGCAAAUUCAGUGAAUCAUCGAGUCUUUGAACGCACAUUGCGCCCCCUGGUAUUCCGGGGGGCAUGCCUGUCCGAGCGUCAUUGCUGCCCUCAAGCACGGCUUGUGUGUUGGGCCCCGUCCUCCGAUUCCGGGGGACGGGCCCGAAAGGCAGCGGCGGCACCGCGUCCGGUCCUCGAGCGUAUGGGGCUUUGUCACCCGCUCUGUAGGCCCGGCCGGCGCUUGCCGAUCAACCCAAAUUUUUAUCCAGGUUGACCUCGGAUCAGGUAGGGAUACCCGCUGAACUUAAGCAUAUCAAUAAGCGGAGGAA